RNAcentral lists this ribosomal RNA (468 nucleotides) under uncultured bacterium. RNAcentral's name for it is "partial 16S ribosomal RNA". It matches the Rfam family "Bacterial small subunit ribosomal RNA", at positions 28 to 507 of the family's 1533-position model. The record is from RNAcentral.
GACGAACGCUGGCGGCGUGCUUAACACAUGCGAGUCGAACGGAAAGGCCCUGCUUUUGUGGGGUGCUCGAGUGGCGAACGGGUGAGUAACACGUGAGUAACCUGCCCUUGACUUUGGGAUAACUUCAGGAAACUGGGGCUAAUACCGGAUAGGAGCUCCUGCUGCAUGGUGGGGGUUGGAAAGUUUCGGCGGUUGGGGAUGGACUCGCGGCUUAUCAGCUUGUUGGUGGGGUAGUGGCUUACCAAGGCUUUGACGGGUAGCCGGCCUGAGAGGGUGACCGGCCACAUUGGGACUGAGAUACGGCCCAGACUCCUACGGGAGGCAGCAGUGGGGAAUAUUGCACAAUGGGCGGAAGCCUGAUGCAGCAACGCCGCGUGCGGGAUGACGGCCUUCGGGUUGUAAACCGCUUUCGCUUGUGACGAAGCGUGAGUGACGGUAAUGGGUAAAGAAGCACCGGCUAACUACGUG